UUUGCGGAGAGUUUGAUCCUGGCUCAGGAUGAACGCUGGCGGCGUGCCUAAUACAUGCAAGUCGAACGAGGAGCUUCAGCGCUUGUAUUCGUACUCGCGCAGAGGAUUUCCUAGUGGCGAACGGGUGAGUAACGCGUUGGUGACCUGCCCCAAAGAGCACCUACGGGUGGCAGCAGUAGGGAAUAUUGCACAAUGGGCGAAAGCCUGAUGCAGCAACGCCGCGUGUGCGAUGAAGGCCUUCGGGUCGUAAAGCACUUUUUGGGAGGAUGAGAAAGGACAGUACUCCCAGAAUAAGUCUCGGCUAACUAUGUGCCAGCAGCCGCGGUAAUACAUAGGAGGCGAGCGUUAUCCGGAUUUACUGGGCGUAAAGCGCGUGCAGGUGGUUUAGUAAGUUGGAUGUGAAAUCUCCCGGCUCAACUGGGAUAGGUCGUUCAAAACUACUAGACUAGAGGACGGUAGAGGAAGGUGGAAUUCCCGGUGUAGUGGUGAAAUGCGUAGAUAUCGGGAGGAACACCAGUGGCGAAAGCGGCCUUCUGGCCCGUUCGGUAGUCCUAGCCGUAAACGAUGUCAACUAGGCGUUGGUGGGUUAAUAGCCAUCAGUGCCGCAGCUAACGCGAUAAGUUGACCGCCUGGGGACUACGAUCGCAAGAUUAAAACUCAAAGGAAUUGACGGGGCCCCGCACAAGCAGCGGAGCGUGUGGUUUAAUUCGAUGCUACACGAAGAACCUUACCUGGGCUUGACAUGU
Non-coding RNA from Anaerolinea sp. 4484_236, 746 nucleotides. The record is from Rfam. NCBI's taxonomy places the organism in Bacteria, Bacillati, Chloroflexota, Anaerolineae, Anaerolineales, Anaerolineaceae.